UUACAGGACGGUCCAUGUGUAUAAGAACGGUUCUGACCGGCCUGACAAACAGAACCAGGAUUACAGAGACCGAACUGAGAUGAAUGACGACCUGCUGAAAGCUGGAGACCUCAGUCUGACCCUGGAAUCCCCCAAAGAGAGAGACACAGGAACAUACUGCUGCAACGUCUACAACAAGGAGGGAAACUUCCUGAGAGAGAAAAUAGUGGAGCUCAAAGUCAGAGGGAGAACCAGGAACAGAAGCAGCUCCAUUGAUCCAACUCCUCUGAUGGCUGAUCAAUCUGUUUGAUUGGUCUGUUGAUCAAUCUUUGAUUAUUGAUCUUGUUGAAGGGGCUCAAAGGAAGAGAAUGUCAACGUUCAGCUUUCAGUGUUUCCUCUCUUCAUCGUCUGAAUGAACCUGCAGUCCAUACUGUGAUUGAUUGAUUGAUUGAUUGAUUGAUUGAUUGUUCUCAUGUAGCUCUAUAAUGUUUCUCUGAUGUUUGUGUAUUCAGCUUCUAUACAUAUAUAUCUGGCUGUGUCUCAGGAGGUAGAGCGGGUCGUCCACUGAUCAGAAGGUUACUGGUUCGAUCCCCGGCUCCUCCCGCUGCAUGUCGAAGUGUCCUUGAGCAAAAUACUGAACCCCAAACUGCUCCUGAUGCUGAAUCACUGUAUGAAUGAGUGAAUGUGUGAAUGAGUGAAUGUAUGAAUGAGUGAAUGUGUGAAUGAGUCAGCUGAACUGUUCUCAUGUGUUUGAAUCCAUAAAGUGUUGUGAGCAGAUGAGUUAUGGAUUCGAUCAUUUCACACUCUGUUUAGAGAAUGAUGAAUAUUGAGGAGAACAACUGUAAAUAAAGCUCAAAUGUACAGAAAUCAUUUCUCCACUCUGACAGCAUCAUGAAAAUGGAUCUAAAGCUGUGAGAAUGAUGGAUUCAGGAGGCAUCAAAACUUUGAUUACUACUCUCUUCUGAAAUAACAAAACUGCUCAGUGUGACGGCCUUAUUGUGUUCCUCUUGCUUGGUUGUUUACUCUUUGUUUCAGGUAGUAAGGGGUGGAGCUGAGAUUACUCUCUGCUGCAGCUCACCUGAGCAGACUCUCUCACUCUCUUCCUCUGGCUGCUGACUGAACUGUUGGGUUUUGUUUGUGUUCUGGGUUUUACAUUCAUACAUAUACACCUCACCCUUCACUCACAUAUUAAACUGUACUGAUUAUUUUGGUGUUUACUUCAUUAAAUUGUCAUAACAAUUCA
Long non-coding RNA from Dicentrarchus labrax (European seabass), 1222 nucleotides. RefSeq lists it as uncharacterized. The record is from RefSeq and is a predicted model, not a curated record. The transcript is spliced from 2 exons. Lineage: Eukaryota; Metazoa; Chordata; Actinopteri; Moronidae.